Molecule: long non-coding RNA, 2206 nt
Filed under: Gossypium barbadense (sea-island cotton)
Lineage: Eukaryota; Viridiplantae; Streptophyta; Magnoliopsida; Malvales; Malvaceae
Description: long non-coding RNA (GBAR_LNC007545)
Source: RNAcentral
AAAGAUAUUUACUUAUUAUUAUUAUUAUUAUAUUUUAUCAAUUAAUUGAGAUAAUGAAAAAUAUAUGGUGAUGAAAUAUUACAUGUGUACAUGUAUGUAUGAAUACACAUGUAGUAUUUUUAUUUGUAUUAAUUAAAUAUUUUAUAAUUAAUUAUUAAUUUAGUAAAUGAAAGAAAUAAAAUGAAAUAAAGAAUAAAUAAAAGAAAGAAAAACAAGAAAAAGAAACACAAAAGAAAUGAAAUAGAAAGAAAGAAGAAAAGAAAAGAAAAGAAAAAGGAGAAAUUAGGGUUUGAAAGCUUGGAAGUUAAAUUGGUACGUCAAUUAAGUUUCUUUCUUAGUGAUUUUGAUAUUUUUGAAGUUCUAAAGUUUAAUACUUUUGAAUUUGUGUGAAAAUAUUGAAAGAUGAUAGACUUUUAAAUAGGGUUUAUGUUGAACUAAUGAUGAAAUUAGGAGUUUAAUUGAUAGAAAUUUUGAUUUAAAUUGAUUAAAGGAUUGAACUGUAAACAAGGUCAUAAGUUUUGUGUUUAGGGACUAAAUUGAUAGAAAUUUAAAAUUAUGGAAAAAUGAUAAAUGUUUGAUGGAAAUUGAAUAAGGAAAUAAUAUGAAUUAUAAAAAGGAAGAAGAUGAAAAUAGUUAGGAUAAAUUUGGGAUUUAGGUUAAAGUUGCAUGGAAAGUUAUUAUUUUCUAUAAAAUAAGUGUGUUAUUAAUUAAUUAUAAUUAUGUUAAUUUUCAUAACAAACAAGGAAACUAAGACUUUGAAUGAGAAGGGAAAAGAAAAAGUGAUUGAGGAGUAGCUCAAAAAAAUAUCGGUUUGUAUUACCUUAAUUCAAGUUAUUUAUUAUUAAAUGUUUAAUUUCAAUAUAUGUGUAUGAAAAAUGAAAUUGAGGUAAGCAGUGAUAAUUGAAUUGAAUGAGAAUUGGAUUUGAUUGAUGAAUGUAUACAUGUGUGAAAUUGAAUUGUAUAAUGAUUUGUGGUGAAUUUGAAAUUGUGAUUGAAUUGUUAUUGUGAUUGAUUUGAAUUCGAAUGAUUCCAAUAUCCUAUUAACUAGUUGGGGUAGGUUGGAUAUAGUUGGCAUGUCAUAGGAUAGGAAGAAUUCAGGGAUUCUUCGAUCUCGAGUCGAUAAAACACUUGUUGUGUCAUAUUUACUUCGGAUAGAUUCGAUGAGGCGUUGGUCGCCGCUUUGCUUUGGCUUAGCUGAUGAGACGUUGGUCGUCACUUAUUUGCUUCGAACUAUCCGAUGAGGCGUUGGCCGCCACUCUGGUGUGUUUGGUUGGAUCCGUGUAUUCUCUAAAGUCCGAGUUAUGUUAAUAGGGGAAAUAUAUGUGAAGAGAAAAAUUAAAUGAAAUUGAUAAAUUAAAUUAUUGAAUGAAAUGAGAAAGUGAUAUUAUAAGAUGAAAUGAGAAAUAUAAUUUGAGCUAUGAGAUUGAAGGCAUAAAACCUAGGCUAAUGAAUUAUUCAUAUUUGAAUGUGAAUUGGAUAUUUAUAUGAUGAAAUGAGAAAUAUAAUUUGAGCUAUGAGAUUGAAGGUAUAAAACCUAGGCUAAUGAAUUAUUCAUAUUUGAAUGUGAAUUGGGUAUUUAUAUGUGAUUGAGAGAUGAACGAAAUGUUCAUGAAUAGUUGGUAAUCUUAUUGAUGAGAUAUUGAAUCAAAUAAUGAAAAUGAUACAAUGGAAAUAUGAUAAUUUAGAAUGAAUUAUAUGUAUGAUUUGUUAAUUAUCUAUGCAUGUUUAUAAUAUUUUAUAUUUUCUAUAAUUUGAAUUAUGGUAAUACUACUGAGUAUUUUCAAUACUCAGCGUACGGUUUGUUUCCGUGCGCAGGCUAGGUAAAGUUGAAGUUUGGUACAGCAUCCGAGUCAAUCCUAACCUCAGCUUAAUUUCUGGUGAAGAAUCUAUCUUUUGGAAAUGUGGCAUGUAUUAGGUUUUGUUUUAGUCACUUAAAUAUAUUUAUGUUUUGGGUGUAAGUAAUUUGUAACUUUUAAGAAGUAUUUGAAAUGAAUAGAUGAAUGUUAUUUGGUCAAGAUUUAUAAGUCAAUGUAUUGGGCAUGAAUUAGGUGUGUUUGAUAUGUGAAAAUAGCUUUAAAAUGGUGAAAAAUCAUGUUUUCACACGGCCAAGUCACAUGGGCGUGUGCCCAGGCCGUGUGGUAAAGUCAAAAUUGCCCACAAGUUAGUCCCAUAGCCAUGUGAGCAAGUCAGAUUUGCCCACGGGUUG